GGUGCUGCCGCUUCAGGGCCUGGGGCGAUUGGCCAUGUUCUGUGUCUAGAGGUGGCACCUGGGGCUCUGUCUACUUUGGUCCCCUGUAUGGGGCACUGAAUGGGGGCCAGGCUAGCCCCUGUCAGCUGUGUGCUCUGAAGGAUUUCAACUGUUCUAUAUGCCAAGGAAGAACCCAGAAGUCCACAGGGUCUCACUAUGUAGCCCAGGCUGAUCUCAAAUUCAGAGAAGCCACCUGGGAUUAAAGUUGUGUACCACCUGGCAAAGAUGGUCUUGAAAGAGAAGUUCCUCUUCUCCUCCUCGCAGCCGCCACCUCACUCACUGCUCUGGUUCUGAUGCUGCUGGUGUCUCCACAUCAAUGGCAGCCUCGCGCCAUCUUCUGUUUGUCCAGCACUGGGUUCCUCCUCAAGAUUCUUCUCUGCUGUUUGCCACAGUCUCAGCAGCUAUUAGAUGUUCCUUCUUCAGUCUGUGGGGUCGUGCUCCCAAAUUCAGCCAUUAAGAUGAUCAGGCUAGACCCGAUGGCCCUUGGUACAGUGACAGCAGCCCAGGGGGAAUCCCGUGCCAUCAUUCCAUGCCAUGACUAUGCCCGACAAACAGAACAGUGUGUCCUCACUCCACUGAAAUUUCUGUAUCCAAAUUAAACCUCUGUUCCAUUCUGUUUAAGUUUUGAUCAGUAAAGCAAAUCAUUAAAAUGUAAUCUCUUCUGGCA
Molecule: long non-coding RNA, 706 nt
Organism: Arvicola amphibius (Eurasian water vole)
Lineage: Eukaryota; Metazoa; Chordata; Mammalia; Rodentia; Cricetidae
Exons: 2
Source: RefSeq, a predicted model, not a curated record